UGGGUCCGCCAUUUCUACAGGAUGCUGCCC
This 30-nucleotide non-coding RNA is filed under the name Rattus norvegicus (Norway rat). Lineage: Eukaryota; Metazoa; Chordata; Mammalia; Rodentia; Muridae. The record is from RNAcentral.